This 957-nucleotide non-coding RNA is filed under the name Mydaus javanensis (Sunda stink badger). RNAcentral describes it as "12S ribosomal RNA". It matches the Rfam family "Microsporidia small subunit ribosomal RNA". Lineage: Eukaryota; Metazoa; Chordata; Mammalia; Carnivora; Mephitidae. The record is from RNAcentral.
UAAAGGUUUGGUCCCAGCCUUACUAUUAGCUUCUAAUAAACUUACACAUGCAAGCCUCUACAUACCGGUGAAAAUGCCCUAGAGUCACAGCAAUUGAUCAAAGGAGCCGGCAUCAAGCACGCUAAUUAAGCAGCUCAUAACGCCUUGCUCAACCACACCCCCACGGGAUACAGCAGUGAUAAGAAUUAAGCCAUGAACGAAAGUUCGACUAAGUUAUAUUAAUAUCAGGGUUGGUAAAUUUCGUGCCAGCCACCGCGGUCAUACGAUUAACCCUAGUUAAUAGACCCACGGCGUAAAACGUGUCAAAGAGCUCAAUAUUACUAAAGUUGUAAUUUAAUCAGGCCGUAAAAAGCCCCCAUUAAUAUAAAAUAUACUACGAAAGUGACUUUAUUAACUCUGAUUACACGAUAGCUAAGACCCAAACUGGGAUUAGAUACCCCACUAUGCUUAGCCCUAAACAUAAAUGAUUCAAAUAAUAAAAUCAUUCGCCAGAGAACUACUAGCAAUAGCUUAAAACUCAAAGGACUUGGCGGUGCUUUAUACCCCUCUAGAGGAGCCUGUUCUAUAAUCGAUAAACCCCGAUAAACCUCACCGUUCCUAGCUAAUCCAGUCUAUAUACCGCCAUCUUCAGCAAACCCUUAAAAGGACAAACAGUAAGCAUGAUCAUAUGACAUAAAAAAGUUAGGUCAAGGUGUAGCCAAUGGAACGGAAAGAAAUGGGCUACAUUUUCUUAAAAAGAAAAUCCAACGGAAGCUCUUAUGAAAACAAGAACCAAAGGAGGAUCUAGUAGUAAAUUAAGAAUAGAGAGCUUAAUUGAACAGGGCCAUGAAGCACGCACACACCGCCCGUCACCCUCCUCAAGUAAAUAUACCACACUAUAACAUAUCCAAAUUAUAUCUGAUACAAGAGGAGACAAGUCGUAACAAGGUAAGCCUACUGGAAAGUGUGCUUGGAUAA